RNAcentral lists this ribosomal RNA (2838 nucleotides) under Triticum aestivum (bread wheat). RNAcentral describes it as "partial small subunit ribosomal RNA". The record is from RNAcentral. Lineage: Eukaryota; Viridiplantae; Streptophyta; Magnoliopsida; Poales; Poaceae.
AUGGAGGGUGCCGCGCAGGCCCUCGUGAGCAACGUUGGGCAGCUGGUGGGGGAGGAGUUCCGGCAGCUCCGCGGAGUGGGCGGCGAGGUCGCUCGUCUGAGGGACGAGCUGGCCACCAUGAACGCCCUCCUCCGCAUGCAGUCUGAAGCAGAGGAGGGUGCCGUGGACCACUUCGUCCGGGAGUGGAUGAAGCAGCUGCGGGAGGUCGCCUACGACGCCGAGGACUGCGUCGACCUCUACUUAUUCCGCGUCCGGUGCCGAUCGGGCGACCGCUAUUUCGUCUGGUGCAAGCACCUGCUUGAGACGCUCAUGUCUCGGCGCCGCCUCGCCGGUGACAUCAGGGCCCUCCGUGCCCAUGCCGCCGCCAUCAACGAGCAGCACGCUCGUUACGGCGUCAACCUCGAGCCACUGCGCCGCCCUCCUUCUGUAUCCUUGCGGGCGGUGGCCGUGUCCGCGCGUGCGCUCCGCCCUGCCGACGACCCGUGUCAGUUCGUCGGCAUCACGGAGAAGGCUACCCCCCUGGCCAAUAAGGUGAAGGACAACGUGGAGGGUGACAUGAAGCUCAAGGUUUUCUCCAUCGUGGGCUUCGGGGGCCUCGGCAAGACUACGCUGGCCAUGGAGGUGUGCCGGCAGCUGGAGGCAGAUUUCCAACGUCAAGCGCAAGUGUCCGUGUCCCAGGCGUUCGACGGCAGGAAGGGCCUCAAGGGACUUCUCAUACGCGUGCUGCAGCAGAUCGUCAAGCCCAAGUCAGAUAAUGACCAAGGCAUCACAGAAGAGGAUUCUAUCAAAGGCAUCGAGAGCAUGGACGAGGAGAAACUGUCUGACAAGCUAAAGGAGCUCCUCGAAAACAAGAGGUACCUCAUUGUGAUUGAUGACGUAUGGACCAUUGCAGCCUGGGAUGCAAUCUUUUCCAAGUUACCGGACAACAAGUGCAGCAGCAGAAUCAUUGUUACCACUCGGAUAGAUAAUGUUGCAAAGGCAUGCAGUGAUGCUAGUGGUGACAUCUAUAAUAUACAAGCUCUGAAUCCAUCAGACUCCAAGAAGCUGUUCCUAAGAAGAGCAUUUAGCUCAGUGAGUGACUCUUGCCCCAAGGACUUGGAAGAGGUUAUGGAGAAAGUCUUAAAAAAAUGUGGUGGACUGCCAUUGGCAAUUAUAAGUGUUGCCAGCCUUUUGGCAAGCUACAGCUCACCUGAAAGCAAACAUAUGUGGGAAAUAGUUUUCAAAUCAAUUGGUUCACAGAUGGACAGCCACCCUACCCUUGAGGGGAUGAGACAAAUAGUUACAUUGAGCUAUGACCACCUGCCUCAUCAUCUUAAGGGUUGCAUGAUGUAUCUUAGCAUUUUCCCAGAGGAUUAUGUGAUUGUCAAGGAUCGAUUGUUGAUGAGAUGGAUUGCUGAAGGAUUGGUUGCUGAGAAGCGGGGGUUGACAAUGAUGGAGGUAGCAGAAUCAUACUUCAAUGAGCUGGUGAGUAGAAGCAUGAUUGAUCGGGACUCUGAUGUAGUCACCUACUAUGAUGGGAGGGUGGAGACGUGUCGAGUGCAUGACAUGACACUCGAGGUCAUGGUUUCGAAAUCCCUCGAGGCUAACUUUGUUAGCCUCAUAGGUGGGCAGUACGAGGGGAUGUCAUACGAUAGGAUUCGUCGCCUCUCAAUUCAUGGAGGUGGGGAGAUUGCCAAAGAAUCUCCAUCCCAGAAGAAGACAGCGAGGCAUGGUCGUAAGGAUGGCAUCGAGGGGAUGAAUGUGCAGCAUGCCCGAUCAUUGAGCCUGUUUGAGUUUGAAGGAGACAAACUGCUUGGUCGGCUACGUGAGUUCACCCUGCUUAGGGUGCUUGACCUGGAAGAUUGCAAGGGCCUAGAAAACAAACAUAUGCGCCACAUCUGCCGGAUGUACCUUCUAAGGUUCUUGAGCUUGAAGGGUACAAAUAUCAGUGAGAUGCCUUCGGAAGUUGGUAAACUGGAGCAUUUGCAGACCCUUGAUGCACGCAACACGUGGCUUAAAGAUCUACCGGAGAGUUUGACAGAUCUAGAGCAACUCGAGAGCCUGCAGUUCUCCAAUGGGUGGACACUGCCCGAGGGAGUGAAGAAAAUGAAGUCACUGCGCAAGGCGAACAAAGUGGUUAUCAGAUCAAACCUUGUAGUUGCUCGGGAGGUCGGUGAGCUGGAAAAAUUGCAAGACUUGCGUAUCUAUGUCGCCAGUGACUCUGACAAUCAUCAGCAUGUCCAUCUACAGCUUAUCCAUUCAAUAGGCAAGCUAUACUCCCUCCGAUGCUUGAACAUUGGGGACACGGGUUAUGACCGAAAGGUAAUGAACUUUCUACAUAAGCUCCCCUCGCCACCAAGGCUCCUUCGAUACCUUAGGAUCUGUGGUGGCCUUGUUGGCGGUGGAUUGCCUGCCUGGGUUGGGCUACUCACUAAUCUUGUUGAGUUUGUCAUAGCGUGGGCAUACCUUGAGGGUGACCAACUAUUAGACACACUGUGUAAGUUGCCCAACCUGAAGAGGCUCACCCUGGAGACACACUUCUACGCAGAGAAAAGGCUGGUUGUACGCGAGACCCAGAUCUUUCCAGUGCUCACGGAUCUGAAACUGACAAAUUCUCCUGGAGUUGAGGUUUACGAAUUUGAGAAAGGAUGCAUGCCAAAGGUUGAGGUGUUUGAGCUGGAUUUUGCUAACAUUGAGAAGAAAAUUGUUGGCAUCGAGCACUUGACCAACCUAAAAGAGGUGCAGUUCUUUGGUCGGAAAGACAACAAAGCCCUGAAACUUGCAUUGGAGGAGCUAAAGAAUGAGAAUCGGAGGCGCGGCCAGUCCAAUCAGUUGACCGUCAAAGUGAGAUACGAGUGA